AUUGAACGCUGGCGGCAGGCCUAACACAUGCAAGUCGAGCGGUAGCACAGAGAGCUUGCUCUCGGGUGACGAGCGGCGGACGGGUGAGUAAUGUCUGGGAAACUGCCUGAUGGAGGGGGAUAACUACUGGAAACGGUAGCUAAUACCGCAUAACGUCGCAAGACCAAAGUGGGGGACCUUCGGGCCUCAUGCCAUCAGAUGUGCCCAGAUGGGAUUAGCUAGUAGGUGGGGUAAUGGCUCACCUAGGCGACGAUCCCUAGCUGGUCUGAGAGGAUGACCAGCCACACUGGAACUGAGACACGGUCCAGACUCCUACGGGAGGCAGCAGUGGGGAAUAUUGCACAAUGGGCGCAAGCCUGAUGCAGCCAUGCCGCGUGUAUGAAGAAGGCCUUCGGGUUGUAAAGUACUUUCAGCGAGGAGGAAGGCAUUAAGGUUAAUAACCUUAGUGAUUGACGUUACUCGCAGAAGAAGCACC
This 475-nucleotide ribosomal RNA is filed under the name Klebsiella sp. ABR11. RNAcentral's name for it is "bacterial SSU rRNA". It matches the Rfam family "Bacterial small subunit ribosomal RNA", at positions 30 to 494 of the family's 1533-position model. Lineage: Bacteria; Pseudomonadati; Pseudomonadota; Gammaproteobacteria; Enterobacterales; Enterobacteriaceae. The record is from RNAcentral.